This 464-nucleotide ribosomal RNA is filed under the name uncultured bacterium. Its description in RNAcentral is "bacterial SSU rRNA". It matches the Rfam family "Bacterial small subunit ribosomal RNA", at positions 339 to 794 of the family's 1533-position model. The record is from RNAcentral.
GUACGGGAGGCAGCAGUGGGGAAUUGUUCGCAAUGGGCGCAAGCCUGACGACGCAACGCCGCGUGGAGGAUGAAGAUCUUCGGGUCGUAAACUCCUUUCGAUCGGGACGAAUUCCUUUGUGGUGAACAAUCACGAAGGUUGACGGUACCGAGAGAAGAAGCCCCGGCUAACUCCGUGCCAGCAGCCGCGGUAAUACGGGGGGGGCAAGCGUUGUUCGGAAUUACUGGGCGUAAAGGGCUCGUAGGCGGCCAACUAAGUCGGACGUGAAAUCCCUCGGCUUAACCGGGGAACUGCGUCCGAUACUGGUUGGCUUGAGUUUGGGAGAGGGAUGCGGAAUUCCAGGUGUAGCGGUGAAAUGCGUAGAUAUCUGGAGGAACACCGGUGGCGAAGGCGGCAUCCUGGACCAACACUGACGCUGAGGAGCGAAAGCCAGGGGAGCAAACGGGAUUAGAUACCCCGGUAGC